Molecule: ribosomal RNA, 502 nt
Filed under: uncultured Gammaproteobacteria bacterium
Lineage: Bacteria; Pseudomonadati; Pseudomonadota; Gammaproteobacteria
Description: bacterial SSU rRNA
Rfam family: Bacterial small subunit ribosomal RNA
Source: RNAcentral
GAAUAACUGGGCGUAAAGGGCACGCAGGCGGUUAUUUAAGUGAGGUGUGAAAGCCCCGGGCUUAACCUGGGAAUUGCAUUUCAGACUGGGUAACUAGAGUACUUUAGGGAGGGGUAGAAUUUCCACGUGUAGCGGUGAAAUGCGUAGAGAUGUGGAGGAAUACCGAAGGCGAAGGCAGCCCCUUGGGAAUGUACUGACGCUCAUGUGCGAAAGCGUGGGGAGCAAACAGGAUUAGAUACCCUGGUAGUCCACGCUGUAAACGCUGUCGAUUUGGGGGUUGGGGUUUAACUCUGGCGCCCGUAGCUAACGUGAUAAAUCGACCGCCUGGGGAGUACGGCCGCAAGGUUAAAACUCAAAUGAAUUGACGGGGGCCCGCACAAGCGGUGGAGCAUGUGGUUUAAUUCGAUGCAACGCGAAGAACCUUACCUACUCUUGACAUCCUAAGAAGAGCUCAGAGAUGAGCUUGUGCCUUCGGGAACUUAGAGAUAGGUGCUGCAUGGCU